GUAGCCUGGGCAUAUCCAAGCAGAGCAAAGAAGCAUUCAAAUGCCCUAUGUCCAGCAGUGUUUAAAGGCCUUUUGGAGAAAUUGGUGCCUUCUUCCUGGGAGAUGCCCUGAGUCUCUCUUCUUAGGUUUGAACCUCAUGGGAUCCCUUCUUGAUCAGCAGAGAGUUAUUCUGGAUGAAAAACAGCUUGCCAAGGGACAGCUGAAUAAUGGUCUCCAGUUUCAUAGGCUUCCUUUUGGACUGCGAUGCUCAGGCAGUUAAAGGGUCUUUGCACCCGCCCUAUCACAAAUGGAACUGGAAUACCUCCCCCAUGAGGAACUUUCCACCCCUCCAUCUUCUGUGAUGUAUCAUACAAGCUGCUUUAACUGAAUAAACUGGACAAGAAAUAUGCUACCACCAGAAUCUCUCCUUUAUCUCAGCCCCCUGUAUGAGCUGAGAGGUCAGUGCUGUAGGAUUUGGAUACCUGAACAACGAAGCAGUAGAUUUACACUUUUUGGAAUAAGCUGCUCCUUUAGGUGAUGCUUCUUGGAUGAAACUGGAGCUGCCACCAUUCUUAUACCA
Long non-coding RNA from Alligator sinensis (Chinese alligator), 559 nucleotides. RefSeq lists it as uncharacterized. NCBI's taxonomy places the organism in Eukaryota, Metazoa, Chordata, Crocodylia, Alligatoridae. The transcript is spliced from 3 exons. The record is from RefSeq and is a predicted model, not a curated record.